UGGCUCAGUUGGUAGAGCAUGGUGUUUGCAACGCCAGGGUUGAGGGUUCGAUUCCCAC
This is a non-coding RNA of Salmo salar (Atlantic salmon), 58 nucleotides long. The record is from Rfam. NCBI's taxonomy places the organism in Eukaryota, Metazoa, Chordata, Actinopteri, Salmoniformes, Salmonidae.